CCCAGACUCCUACGGGAGGCAGCAGUGGGGAAUAUUGGGCAAUGGGCGCAAGCCUGACCCAGCAACGCCGCGUGAAGGAAGAAGGCUUUCGGGUUGUAAACUUCUUUUAAGAGGGACGAAACAAAUGACGGUACCUCUUGAAUAAGCUCCGGCUAACUCCGUGCCAGCAGCCGCGGUAAUACGGAGGAUGCGAGCGUUAUCCGGAUUUAUUGGGUUUAAAGGGUGCGUAGGCGGAGUGUCAAGUCAGCGGUAAAAUUUCGGGGCUCAACCCCGUCGUGCCGUUGAAACUGACACCCUUGAGUGAGUGAGAAGUAAGCGGAAUGCGUGGUGUAGCGGUGAAAUGCAUAGAUAUCACGCAGAACGCCGACUGCGAAGGCAGCUUACCGGCGCUCAACUGACGCUGAGGCACGAAAGUGCGGGUAUCGAACAGGAUUAGAUACCCGAGUAGU
Molecule: ribosomal RNA, 449 nt
Filed under: uncultured bacterium
Lineage: Bacteria
Description: bacterial SSU rRNA
Rfam family: Bacterial small subunit ribosomal RNA
Source: RNAcentral